This is a long non-coding RNA of Anser brachyrhynchus (Pink-footed goose), 2078 nucleotides long. NCBI's taxonomy places the organism in Eukaryota, Metazoa, Chordata, Aves, Anseriformes, Anatidae. The record is from Ensembl.
UGCUAAGCUCACUUAGACCUAUGAGUCUUCUAGCCCAGGAUUUUGACAUUGACCAGAGCGGGGCGGUCAGAGUGCGUUCCAAGAAACCCUGCAACAAGCAGUUAGGUUAUCCCUUAUCUCCAAAAAAGUUUCCAUUCCUCCCUCUGUAAUUAGAGGUUAGCUAACGCCUCAAAUCAUGAGAGUUUAUAUCUUUCCUGAGACCUCAUUUCAAAAAUAACUUUAAAUAUUUACUGCCGUAACUCUGGUCGUGCUCGUUACGAAAGUCCAAUCGUGGCUGGAGUUUUGCCAGGGUUUUAUUAUCUCUCAGCUUCAUCCCAUUUUCCUGCUGCAUGAUGAUCUAAGGGUGGGUGAGAGCAAUGAUUUAUACGAUAACCCAAAAAAAGAAUGGUAGCUGUUUUGGGAAAUCGUCAGAAAGCAACUAACUUUUCCUAUAUAUAGUUUUUUCCAUGUCAUGUAACUCACUGCAGCAGGAGCACAGGCUUUGGCAUUGCGUGGCGAGCCGUGGGUUUGUUUUCCACCCUGAUGGCUCUGUGUUGGUGGAGAUCCUGAGGCCGGGGCCCUCCUGCUAGCUGUGAUGUGCUGCUGGCCCGGAGCCACCCCAGGUGCUGGGGUCCGAGACCUGGUCUGGAGCAGCCCCUUCCCCAUUGCCUUCCCUUUCCUCUCUCUUCAUGCACUCAGGGUCGAUCUCCGGGGCAGAGCUGCAAACGUUGGCCUGCAGGGUGCAGACAAGAGGACCGGCGAAGACCCAGGCACGGAAAUAUUGGGGCUGUGAAAUUUUGGAAGGCCUGUGAACAGCAUGCUGGGGAGCUCGUGCAGCCUGGAGCAGCAAGGGCCCUGUCCAUUCCCAUAUCAAGAUGAAUAUUAUUUCCUUCGGCCAGGCCAUGUCGUUAUGGAAGAUACCUGGUCUUUCAGACUUCCUGAGAUUUACACAUCUACCACUUUCCUUGACAUAUACUUAUGAUCUGCUAUGCAGACUGGCUGAAUGUCAUUCCCAUCCCUGGACUCCUUCCUUCUCCUUUCCUUUCGGAGCAACCCAGGGCACAGAUGGAUACAGAGGCUGUGGUGUUUUCAAGGUUGCAGCAUGUUCCAAGACUAUGGCCUCAUGAAGGAACAGAAAAACCUCCUUAGGGACUCCAGGAAGAGCAGGGAAGGCUUGUGGAAAUGCCUACUGAAAGUUUUGCCAUUUGUUAGGGACAGCCAGAAGAUGUUGACUCUUCUGCCUUCUCUGCAGGAGUCUUCUGUGCAGUGAUGCUCACUGCAGCUGUGUCUGAUUUCCUGAAUGGUGUGCAAGGACAUGUUAAGAUCCACAGUUUUUCCUCAGCAAAUUGCAACAGAAGCCUGAACAGACAAAUGGACUCUGCGGUGAGGUUCAGGUGAGUAUCUGGUUGGCAGUAUCAAGUCCUAUAAUUGCUACAGCCUCCAGUAAAAUUAAUUUGUAAGCCAUUGGCUUUCUAAAGGCCAGACGUCUACAAUUACUUUUUUUCUUCUUUGUGCCAAGAUGCAUUCUUUCAAGAAAAAAAUAUCACUAAGCAAAGGGCACCUGUCUAAAAUUACUAAGGCUCAAGUAAGAGAUUUGCAGAUCAACUUUGCUGCCCUUUUCCCCCUGCAGUAAAACUAUAUGCUUUGUCUACUGAGAACAAGAGAAAAUGACCUUGCCUUGAUUUGUGAACUUUAAAAAAUGCUAAAAUGAUAUCUGCAAGGAAAUAGAAUGCAAAACUGCCCUUCAGCUAUGAAGACUAUUUUUUCUUGUUUCUUAAAAAGAAAAUGACGAUGCCAUAAACAUAUCUGUCUUUAUUUAUUUUUUGGUCCUCUGUUCUUCCUCAAAAUAAUUAUUGCAACGAUUUAUUUACACCAUAUAUUGAUUUACACUUUAAGUAAAACCAAUAUAUUUGCAAAAGGAAAAAAAUGACACUUGAAUUUGUUUAUUUCAGUUGUAUUUAGACAUAGUCAGAAACUAGAAUUUACAACCUACGUGGGUUUCUGGAAUAUCUGUAUUUCAUUUUGGCCUUACUCAGUAUAAAAAGCCUAACUAUCAUUGAUGGAAUAAAAUGCUGUAAAACAAUUUGAUUUAGAAAUAC